CCUACGGGUGGCUGCAGUGAGGAAUAUUGGUCAAUGGGCGCUAGCCUGAACCAGCCAAGUAGCGUGAAGGAUGACUGCCCUAUGGUUUGUAAACUUCUUUUAUAUGGGAAUAAAGUGCAGUAUGUAUACUGCUUUGCAUGUACCUUAUGUAUAAAGAUAGGCUAACUCCGUUCCAGCAGCCGCGGUAAUACGGAGGAUCCGAGCGUUGUCCGGAUUUAUUGGGUUUAAAGGGAGCGUAGGCGGGGUGUUAAGUCAGUUGUGAAAGUUUGCGGCUCAACCGUGAAAUUGCAGUUGAUUCUGGGAUACUUGAGUGCAGUAGAGGUAGGCGGAAUUCGAGGUGUAGCGGUGAAAUGCUUAGAUAUCACGAAGAACACCAAUGGCGAAGGCAGCCUGCUGGACUGUAACUGACGCUGAGGCUCGAAAGUGUGGGUAUCAAACAGGAUUAGAUACCCGAGUAGUC
This 460-nucleotide ribosomal RNA is filed under the name uncultured bacterium. RNAcentral describes it as "partial 16S ribosomal RNA". It matches the Rfam family "Bacterial small subunit ribosomal RNA", at positions 338 to 795 of the family's 1533-position model. The record is from RNAcentral.